Molecule: ribosomal RNA, 256 nt
Filed under: uncultured bacterium
Lineage: Bacteria
Description: partial 16S ribosomal RNA
Rfam family: Bacterial small subunit ribosomal RNA
Source: RNAcentral
UACAGAGGUCCCGAGCGUUGUUCGGAUUCAUUGGGCGUAAAGGGUGCGUAGGCGGCGGGGCAAGUCUGAUGUGAAAUCCCGGGGCUCAACCCCGGAACUGCAUUGGAUACUGCCUUGCUUGAGUACUGGAGAGGGAACUGGAAUUUACGGUGUAGCAGUGAAAUGCGUAGAGAUCGUAAGGAAGGCCAGUGGCGAAGGCGAGUUCCUGGACAGUAACUGACGCUGAGGCACGAAGGCCCAGGGGGAGCAAACGGGG